UACAGAGGGUGCAAGCGUUGUUCGGAAUUAUUGGGCGUAAAGCGUGCGCAGGCGGCCAUCCAAGUCAGUGGUGAAAGCCCGGAGCUCAACUCCGGAAUUGCCAUUGAAACUGUUUGGCUCGAGUACGAGAGAGGUGAGUGGAAUUCCCAGUGUAGAGGUGAAAUUCGUAGAUAUUCGCAAGAACACCAGUGGCGAAGGCGGCUCACUGGCCCGGAACUGACGCUGAGAUGCGAAAGCGUGGGGAGCAAACAGGG
RNAcentral lists this ribosomal RNA (254 nucleotides) under uncultured bacterium. Its description in RNAcentral is "partial 16S ribosomal RNA". It matches the Rfam family "Bacterial small subunit ribosomal RNA", at positions 524 to 777 of the family's 1533-position model. The record is from RNAcentral.